Frankliniella occidentalis (western flower thrips) is the source of this 860-nucleotide long non-coding RNA. RefSeq lists it as uncharacterized. The record is from RefSeq and is a predicted model, not a curated record. NCBI's taxonomy places the organism in Eukaryota, Metazoa, Arthropoda, Insecta, Thysanoptera, Thripidae. The transcript has 2 exons.
CUCCUCGCCCCCCGGUCGGCUACCCCCAGAGGUUCUACUACGCCUCCUACCAGCCAGCUCAAUACGCUCCGUACUAGAGGAUCGUACUUGAGGCUCGACCGACCAAACAUCUGACGGACGCCGAGGUGAAGAAAACGAGAACAUCCUCGCGGGCGUCAGAUGGAAACGAAAAUAUCGACCCGUCUCGUCGCCGUCCUGGCGUUCGCUGGACACGACCCCUUCCGCUAGCGAUCAGCUCGGAGAGGGCCCAGGAACAGCCUGGCCGGCCCACGACGCGGGGGCUGCCAAGAGCUGGGAGACAUCACUAUAAGCGUGCCAUUAGAGAUAGUAAUAUUAAUAGUAAUAGCAAUAAUAAAUGGCUGCCCUGCGUCCACCGCCCCCGCAGCGUCCAGGGGCGCCGUCUAUGGCCGAUCUAUAGACAGAGAUCCGGCCGUCGACGGGCGGGGUUUUGAUAGACCGACCCCUCGGAGGGCGGCGGCCGGCGGUGGACGUGGCCAGGGGAAUACAACGGGAGAGACGUGGACUGUGUGUGAGUGUGUGCGUGGGUGUGCGAAUGUGUGCGUGCGUGCGAAGUGUAGUCCUACCGAGUGCUCCGCAAUGUGAUGCUAACGUAAUUUAUUCUGGUUGAAAUACAUUCCUGCGAGGUUCUGUGUUGGUGUGUUGUCUGCGCGUUCGGAGUCGUCUUAGGAUAGUAUCUCCUUGUUACUUGCUCUCGGGCUGACUGGCUUAGACGAGCAAUAACGAGCACUGUGCUCGAUGACAUGUACUUUUUGUAAACGAAAGACGUCGGAUAGAAUUAGAAACCAUUUGUUUUUACGUAGAAUUUGUGAAUGAAUAAAGUCUUUAUGGAAGAAAAAGUU